AGAUUUCUGCCUUGUGCGUUAAGCACAGUCAUUAUAAAUCCAACACACAAUUAAAAGGGAACUGUGCUCCGAGAAACGGAUUGCAGACCUCCCGGCGCACGCCGACUUAGUGCCGUGUGCGUUCGGACGCUGGGAGCGAGAAGUCAUUGGGCUGGUACCCACCUGCGAAAGCGGGUUUUAUCAACUGUGCGACGGCAAGGCGGUAAUUAU
This 210-nucleotide non-coding RNA is filed under the name Ruminococcus sp. RNAcentral's name for it is "6S RNA". It matches the Rfam family "6S / SsrS RNA". Rfam says of the family: E. coli 6S RNA was the first non coding RNA to be sequenced, but its function was unknown until recently. It consists of 184 nucleotides that fold into an extended hairpin structure with a large single-stranded internal bulge. Lineage: Bacteria; Bacillati; Bacillota; Clostridia; Eubacteriales; Oscillospiraceae. The record is from RNAcentral.